UAGGGAAUAUUGCGCAAUGGGCGAAAGUCUGACGCAGCGACGCCGCGUGGGGGAUGAAGGUCUUCGGAUUGUAAACCCCUUUCGGGAGGGAAGAUGGAGUGGGUAACCACUUGGACGGUACCUCCAGAAGCAGCCACGGCUAACUUCGUGCCAGCAGCCGCGGUAAUACGAAGGUGGCAAGCGUUGUUCGGAUUCACUGGGCGUACAGGGAGCGUAGGCGGUUGGGUAAGCCCUCCGUGAAAUCUCCGGGCCUAACCCGGAAAGUGCAGAGGGGACUGCUCAGCUAGAGGAUGGGAGAGGAGCGCGGAAUUCCCGGUGUAGCGGUGAAAUGCGUAGAGAUCGGGAGGAAGGCCGGUGGCGAAGGCGGCGCUCUGGAACAUUUCUGACGCUGAGGCUCGAAAGCGUGGGGAGCAAACAGGAUUAGAUACCCCCGUAGUCCCUGAGCGGGCUGGCAAGGCGCAU
This 462-nucleotide ribosomal RNA is filed under the name uncultured bacterium. Its description in RNAcentral is "bacterial SSU rRNA". It matches the Rfam family "Bacterial small subunit ribosomal RNA", at positions 355 to 825 of the family's 1533-position model. The record is from RNAcentral.